AUGAUGAUUGAUCUGAAUGAACCACCGCUUGACGUAGAGUCCAUCAACAUUUCAGUCGAGUUGGGUGCACCCUUCUUGCAUGCAGGGGGUGAACAGGGACAUCAACAACUGGAGGAGGAGGUUGGUGAGUCUCCUGACCCCAAUAUUGGAUCUAACACUACUCAUGUCCCGGACAAACGUGUUGCCACUCCCCCACCUAUGGUUGCUCCUGCUAAUGCUUUAGUUCAUGAGGCACGUGAGUUGGAAGAUGAAGAAGCUGGAUCACAGCCACAACAACCUUAUGUUGGCAUGCGCUUCGACACUUUAGAGGAUGCGAGGGAACACUACAAUCGCUAUGCUUUGAUGGAGGGCUUUUCAAUCAAGUCAAAUACGUCUUACAGGUCGGCCUACACAGGUGUGUUGGAAAAACAGCAAUUCUGCUGUAACAAGUUCCGCAAACCAGUAGAGAGGGUUGGGAUCCCGGAUGUUCCCUCGUCGAGCAAAAACACUACAUGUCCAAGCUCACCUGAACAAGAUGUUGAAGAUGAUGUCGAGGAACACACUUUCAAGAAGAAGAGGAAACGGGAAACUGUGAAGCGAACAAAAUGUCGUGCUAAGAUGGUGGUGAAGCUUAAAGAUGACAGAUGGGAGGUUAUCACUUUUAUUGCAGAUCAUAACCAUCCACUGAUUGAGAAGCCAUCGCUUUCGAAAUACCUCCGUUCUCACCAAGGAAUCCCGCCGGAACAGAAAAAACUACUGACUCACCUAAAUGACUGCAACUUCACAGCAGGUACAAAACUCACAUUGCGUUAA
Molecule: ribosomal RNA, 792 nt
Filed under: Triticum aestivum (bread wheat)
Lineage: Eukaryota; Viridiplantae; Streptophyta; Magnoliopsida; Poales; Poaceae
Description: partial small subunit ribosomal RNA
Source: RNAcentral